Molecule: non-coding RNA, 1228 nt
Organism: Leptonychotes weddellii (Weddell seal)
Lineage: Eukaryota; Metazoa; Chordata; Mammalia; Carnivora; Phocidae
Source: RefSeq, a predicted model, not a curated record
CUGAGCUGAAAAUCCAGAGUUGGAUGCUUAACCGACUGAGCCACCCAAGUGCCCCAAGGAGGUCGUCUUUUGCCUGCAAAAGACCCCAUUGCUUUUAGAUGCUCUCCUAGGACCGAGACCAGCUUGGGAGCUGUGCCCGCAUCUUUGCUCUACCCUCAAGAUUGGAAGUGCUGCAUUUUCCCCUCCCCAGAUGCAGCAACCUAACCAGAAAAGCACCACCUGCCAGAGAGAGCCGGCUCCUGUCCCACAUGGUCCAGCCUCAGGGAGGGGCACUGAGCACCAGCACCCCCACCAGCAGCUGCGCUCACCGCCCCCCCCAGGUCAAGAGUCACUGCCUCCCUGAAGACGAGCUGUUCUCAGGGCUCUUCUCCUGACUGGCGGAUGACCCCGGAAACUUGCAGAUCUUUCCUGUGCCUGUCUCCACCUAACUGGAAGGCUAUGGUGGAGACUGCAUGAGAUGAACAGGUGUGUAAAGAAUCUGGGGUUGGCGAGGGAUGCUAAUGUCCUGGGAGCAAUGGAGCUGCCUGGCGAGAGUGUUGACAUCCACCCCUCCGAUCCUGUGACACAAAUGGAGGAUUCCUGUUUAUUAUGUGAGUCACUCGAGGCUUAGGGAAGUGAAACAAUGUGCAAGAUCUCACGUUAACUGGAGCCCAGGGACCUUGCAGUACCCUCUUACCAGGAGGUGGGGCAGAAGGAAAGAGGGGACAGCUGCCCACCCCAGGCUGGCCCUGACAGAGCAUGGAAUGACAAAGCGACUGGGAACCAGGGAGGCCAGCCAGCAGGAUCUACGUCCGUGGUGCCCUGGAAUUUCGGUCAACCCCUACAAUUGUGGAUAAAAUGUUGUACAUGUGGUCCAUAGCAUUUAUGAGAUUUUCAAAGGGGUCAAUGCAAGCUAAGUACCGGGACGCUGGCUACCCCUCCGCUUUGCUGAUGUGAGUGGCAACUCCUGUUGGUGCUUAUCUGCAUAGCCAAGAGAGGGAACCCCUGAGUCUCACCUGCCACCUCCCUCUCUCUUCUCCCACGGCCCAGCGAGCAGCUGCUCACCUUGUUUUCUGAACUUGGGGCAUCUCAUGCUCAGCAAGGCAGCCCGUAGGGCCCCCAUGCACGGGCCCGCCAGGCCAUGACCUCCUGGCCCUCCUGGGGGAAAGAGCCCUGCCCCCCCAUUCCCAGGCCCCAGCACAUAUAGGAAGGGAGAAUGGGCCCUGUAAGACAGCUCCUGGGGCGCCUG